AACGUAGGAGGCGAGCGUUAUCCGGAAUUACUGGGCGUAAAGCGCGUGCAGGCGGUUCGGUUAGUUGGAUGUGAAAGCUCCUGGCUUAACUGGGAGAGGUCGUUCAAUACUGCCGAACUUGAGAGUGGUAGAGGGAGAUGGAAUUCCGCAUGUAGUGGUGAAAUGCGUAGAUAUGCGGAGGAACACCAGUGGCGAAAGCGGUCUCCUGGCCCACUUCUGACGCUCAGACGCGAAAGCUAGGGUAGCAAACGGG
Molecule: ribosomal RNA, 253 nt
Filed under: uncultured bacterium
Lineage: Bacteria
Description: partial 16S ribosomal RNA
Rfam family: Bacterial small subunit ribosomal RNA
Source: RNAcentral